GACGAACGCUGGCGGCGUGCUUAACACAUGCAAGUCGAACGGAAAGGCCCUGCUUUUGUGGGGUGCUCGAGUGGCGAACGGGUGAGUAACACGUGAGUAACCUGCCCUUGACUGUGGGAUAACUUCAGGAAACUGGGGCUAAUACCGGAUAGGAGCUCCUGCUGCAUGGUGGGGGUUGGAAAGUUUCGGCGGUUGGGGAUGGACUCGCGGCUUAUCAGCUUGUUGGUGGGGUAGUGGCUUACCAAGGCUUUGACGGGUAGCCCGCCUGAGAGGGUGACCGGCCACAUUGGUACUGAGAUACGGCCCAGACUCCUACGGUAGGCAGCAGUGGGGAAUAUUGCACAGUGGGGGGAAGCCUGAUGCAGCAACGCCGCGUGCGGGAUGACGGCCUUCGGGUUGUAAACCGCUUUCGCCUGUGACGAAGCGUGAGUGACGGUAAUGGGUAAAGAAGCACCGGCUAACUACGUG
RNAcentral lists this ribosomal RNA (468 nucleotides) under uncultured bacterium. Its description in RNAcentral is "partial 16S ribosomal RNA". It matches the Rfam family "Bacterial small subunit ribosomal RNA", at positions 28 to 507 of the family's 1533-position model. The record is from RNAcentral.